Molecule: ribosomal RNA, 406 nt
Filed under: uncultured bacterium
Lineage: Bacteria
Description: partial 16S ribosomal RNA
Rfam family: Bacterial small subunit ribosomal RNA
Source: RNAcentral
AUUGAACGCUGGCGGCAGGCCUAACACAUGCAAGUCGAACGAGUGGCGGACGGGUGUGUAAUGUCUGGGAAACUGCCUGAUGGAGGGGGAUCACUACUGGAAACGGUAGCUACUACCGCCUAGCUGCAGCUGUGCCCAGAUGGGAUUAGCUUGUUGGUGGGGUAACGGAUCACCAAGGCGACGAUCCCUAGCUGGUCUGAGAGGAUGACCAGCCACACUGGAACUGAGACACGGUCCAGACUCCUACGGGAGGCAGCAGUGGGGAAUAUUGCACAAUGGGCGAAAGCCUGAUGCAGCCAUGCCGCGUGUAUGAAGAAGGCCUUCGGAUUGUAAAGUACUUUCAGCUGGGAGGCGUUACCCGCAGAAGAAGCACCGGCUAACUCCGUGCCAGCAGCCGCGGUAAUAC